RNAcentral lists this ribosomal RNA (1280 nucleotides) under uncultured bacterium. Its description in RNAcentral is "bacterial SSU rRNA". It matches the Rfam family "Bacterial small subunit ribosomal RNA", at positions 94 to 1399 of the family's 1533-position model. The record is from RNAcentral.
AGUGGCGGACGGGUGAGUAACGCGUGGGUAACCUGCCUCAUACAGGGGGAUAACAGUUAGAAAUGACUGCUAAUACCGCAUAAGACCACAGCACCGCAUGGUGCAGAGGUAAAAACUCCGGUGGUAUGAGAUGGACCCGCGUCUGAUUAGCUAGUUGGUGGGGUAACGGCCUACCAAGGCGACGAUCAGUAGCCGGCCUGAGAGGGCGACCGGCCACAUUGGGACUGAGACACGGCCCAAACUCCUACGGGAGGCAGCAGUGGGGAAUAUUGCACAACGGGGGAAACCCUGAUGCAGCGACGCCGCGUGGAGGAAGAAGGUCUUCGGAUUGUAAACUCCUGUUGUUGAGGAAGAUAAUGACGGUACUCAACAAGGAAGUGACGGCUAACUACGUGCCAGCAGCCGCGGUAAAACGUAGGUCACAAGCGUUGUCCGGAAUUACUGGGUGUAAAGGGAGCGCAGGCGGGAAGACAAGUUGGAAGUGAAAUCUAUGGGCUCAACCCAUAAACUGCUUUCAAAACUGUUUUUCUUGAGUAGUGCAGAGGUAGGCGGAAUUCCCGGUGUAGCGGUGGAAUGCGUAGAUAUCGGGAGGAACACCAGUGGCGAAGGCGGCCUACUGGGCACCAACUGACGCUGAGGCUCGAAAGUGUGGGUAGCAAACAGGAUUAGAUACCCUGGUAGUCCACACCGUAAACGAUGAUUACUAGGUGUUGGAGGAUUGACCCCUUCAGUGCCGCAGUUAACACAAUAAGUAAUCCACCUGGGGAGUACGACCGCAAGGUUGAAACUCAAAGGAAUUGACGGGGGCCCGCACAAGCAGUGGAGUAUGUGGUUUAAUUCGACGCAACGCGAAGAACCUUACCAAGUCUUGACAUCCUGCGACGCACAUAGAAAUAUGUGUUUCCUUCGGGACGCAGAGACAGGUGGUGCAUGGUUGUCGUCAGCUCGUGUCGUGAGAUGUUGGGUUAAGUCCCGCAACGAGCGCAACCCUUAUUGCCAGUUACUACGUUAAGAGGACUCUGGCGAGACUGCCGUUGACAAAACGGAGGAAGGUGGGGAUGACGUCAAAUCAUCAUGCCCUUUAUGACCUGGGCUACACACGUACUACAAUGGCGUUAAACAAAGAGAAGCAAGACCGCGAGGUGGAGCAAAACUCAAAAACAACGUCUCAGUUCAGAUUGCAGGCUGCAACUCGCCUGCAUGAAGUCGGAAUUGCUAGUAAUCGCGGAUCAGCAUGCCGCGGUGAAUACGUUCCCGGGCCUUGCACACACCGCCCGUCA